Molecule: ribosomal RNA, 121 nt
Filed under: Helianthus annuus (common sunflower)
Lineage: Eukaryota; Viridiplantae; Streptophyta; Magnoliopsida; Asterales; Asteraceae
Source: RNAcentral
GGUUGCGAUCAUACCAGCACUAAUGCACCGGAUCCCAUCAUAACUCCGCAGUUAAGCGUGCUUGGGCGAGAGUAGUACUAGGAUGGGUGACCCCCUGGGAAGUCCUCGUGUUGCAACCCGC